ACAGAAGCACGAAGCAUCGGAUUCCGGGCGGGGCGCCGCGGUCCUGUCUGUGGUGCUGAAGGAGGGGCGGGCGAGGCUCACUUUAACUGCCAUUUCCAUGGUGACAACAGCCCAGAAACGUGCCACCCCCUCCAAGCCUGACUGACCAGCCAGACCAGCUCCCCCUGGCACCUGUGGACACAUGCCAGCCAAGGAGGGCUAUGGGGCUGUUGUGAGCCUGGCAGGAAGGCACACGGGCCAAUGACAAACAGUAACCUUGACCUCCACACCUGAGGCUGUAACAGGAUCGCAUGGGCAGGCACAGAAAGGCACCUCUGGACACACACCAGCCAAGGGAAGAGAUGGUGUGGUGUGGAGCAGGUCAGCAGCUCUCUUCUCUAGGGCCCCAACAAGAUAAGAAAUACAGUGGAAUUCUAUCUUCACGUGUCCUGUCAUCCAGGGCAGGGUCACAGAUCUACCGUGGGAACCUAUGGCCAGGAAUGGUAAGGCCUGGAAUGGAGGCUCUGAGCUACGUCCAGGUCGUCAAGUCAGCACCAGUCUCUCGGGUCACUGCCUGACCAUUGUAGAAUGGGUCCUACCUGUUUUUCUCAUUAAAAGGCUUCAGGAUAGUGUAGAUUACUUUCCUGGGCCCAUGAACCACCA
Mus musculus (house mouse) is the source of this 642-nucleotide long non-coding RNA. RefSeq annotates it as RIKEN cDNA F930026P19 gene. Lineage: Eukaryota; Metazoa; Chordata; Mammalia; Rodentia; Muridae. The transcript is spliced from 4 exons. The record is from RefSeq and is marked validated.